AACGAACGCUGGCGGCAUGCCUAACACAUGCCAGUCGAACGAGACCUUCGGGUCUAGUGGCGCACGGGUGCGUAACGCGUGGGAACCUGCCCUUAGGUUCGGAAUAACUCCCCGAAAGGGGUGCUAAUACCGGAUAAUGUCUUCGGACCAAAGAUUUAUCGCGAUUGGAUCGGGCCGCGUUGGAUUAGCUAGUUGGUAGGGUAAAAGCGCGCCAAGGCGACGUGCCAUAGCUGGACGGGGUGCAGGACCAGCCACAAUGGGACUGAGACACGGCCCAGACUCGUACGGGACGGAGCAGUAGGGAAUAUUAGACGAUGGGCGAAAGCGUGAUCCAGCAGCGCCGCGUGAGUGGUGAAGGCGUUAGGGUUGUAAUUCUCUCUGACCCGAGGCGAUAAUGACAGUACCGGGAGAAUAAGCACCGGCUAACUACGUG
RNAcentral lists this ribosomal RNA (433 nucleotides) under uncultured bacterium. Its description in RNAcentral is "partial 16S ribosomal RNA". It matches the Rfam family "Bacterial small subunit ribosomal RNA", at positions 29 to 507 of the family's 1533-position model. The record is from RNAcentral.